RNAcentral lists this ribosomal RNA (192 nucleotides) under uncultured bacterium. RNAcentral's name for it is "partial 16S ribosomal RNA". It matches the Rfam family "Bacterial small subunit ribosomal RNA", at positions 1309 to 1500 of the family's 1533-position model. The record is from RNAcentral.
AACCCGCCUGCGUGAAGCCGGAAUUGCUAGUAAUCGCGGAUCAGCAUGCCGCGGUGAAUACGUUCCCGGGCCUUGUACACACCGCCCGUCACACCAUGAGAGCCGGGGGGACCCGAAGUCCGUAGCCUAACCGAAAGGGGGGCGCGGCCGAAGGUAAAACUGGUGAUUGGGGUGAAGUCGUAACAAGGUAUC